Molecule: long non-coding RNA, 544 nt
Organism: Mus musculus (house mouse)
Lineage: Eukaryota; Metazoa; Chordata; Mammalia; Rodentia; Muridae
Product: predicted gene, 46508
Exons: 2
Source: RefSeq, a predicted model, not a curated record
GCUCUUAUGGGAGGGGUCAAACACAGUGCGGAUGUACAAGAAAACAGCUCCUACCUCCGGGGAUGCUUGUUGGAAGGGAUAAGUCUGAAUAAGUAAUAAUAAGUUGGGGUCUGAAUCCACUGCAGGAAGAAGGUAACAUUUGAAAAGAUGGAGGUAGGAUUCUGACAGUCAGGAGGGUGAUUUGGCAUCUCCGGACUGAGGCCUGGGAUGCUGGCAAGCUCAGGGAGGGAUAAGGGUGUCCUGGAGGAUGAGUUUGGAGAAGCAGAUGGCAGUCACCAUUUGGUGCUUGGGAUUCAAGCAGAUCAAAGGGUAUUCAGGGCAGUGACCAGUUUCUGCAGUCUUCUGAGUGGAGCCUCUCCGGUGCAUGCAAAGCUCUCCGUGUGGUGGGGAGACGAUCUUUCUGAGGAGAUGACGGCAGAUCAGACAGGGCUAAGCACUGUACCUAUGGACCUCAGAGACUUGGAGCCAGCUUCUCUCACCACUUGGACCAUUCUUCCUCAAUAUGGCUACACAUGCUGAUGAAUAAACAAACCUGCUCCUACAA